UACAGAGGUGGCAAGCGUUGUUCGGAAUUACUGGGCGUAAAGGGCGCGUAGGCGGCCUUCUAAGUCGGACGUGAAAGCCCCAGGCUUAACCUGGGAACUGCGUCCGAUACUGGAAGGCUUGGAUUCGGGAGAGGGAUGUGGAAUUCCAGGUGUAGCGGUGAAAUGCGUAGAUAUCUGGAGGAACACCGGUGGCGAAGGCGGCAUCCUGGACCGAGAUCGACGCUGAGGCGCGAAAGCGUGGGGAGCAAACAGG
Molecule: ribosomal RNA, 253 nt
Filed under: uncultured bacterium
Lineage: Bacteria
Description: partial 16S ribosomal RNA
Rfam family: Bacterial small subunit ribosomal RNA
Source: RNAcentral